AACGAACGCUGGCGGCAUGCCUAAUACAUGCAAGUCGAACGAACACUUCGGUGUUAGUGGCGCACGGGUGCGUAACUCGUGGGAAUCUGCCCUUGGGUUCGGAAUAACAGUUGGAAACGACUGCUAAUACCGGAUGAUGACGAAAGUCCAAAGAUUUAUCGCCCAGGGAUGAGCCCGCGUAGGAUUAGCUAGUUGGUGAGGUAAAGGCUCACCAAGGCGACGAUCCUUAGCUGGUCUGAGAGGAUGAUCAGCCACACUGGGACUGAGACACGGCCCAGACUCCUACGGGAGGCAGCAGUAGGGAAUAUUGGACAAUGGGCGCAAGCCUGAUCCAGCCAUGCCGCGUGCAGGAUGAAGGCCUUCGGGUUGUAAACUGCUUUUGUACGGAACGAAAAGGUCUUUUUUAAUAAAGAGGGCCCAUGACGGUACCGUAAAAAUAAGCACCGGCUAACUCCGUGCCAGCAGCCGCGGUAAUACGGAGGGGGCUAGCGUUGUUCGGAAUUACUGGGCGUAAAGCGCACGUAGGCGGCUUUGUAAGUUAGAGGUGAAAGCCCGGGGCUCAACCCCGGAAUUGCCUUUAAGACUGCAUCGCUUGAACGUCGGAGAGGUGAGUGGAAUUCCGAGUGUAGAGGUGAAAUUCGUAGAUAUUCGGAAGAACACCAGUGGCGAAGGCGGCUCACUGGACGACUGUUGACGCUGAGGUGCGAAAGCGUGGGUAGCAAACAGGAUUAGAUACCCUGGUAGUCCACGCCGUAAACGAUGAUAACUAGCUGUCUGGGCUCUUGGAGCUUAGGUGGCGCAGCUAACGCAAUAAGUUAUCCGCCUGGGGAGUACGGCCGCAAGGUUGU
RNAcentral lists this ribosomal RNA (848 nucleotides) under uncultured bacterium. RNAcentral's name for it is "bacterial SSU rRNA". It matches the Rfam family "Bacterial small subunit ribosomal RNA", at positions 28 to 897 of the family's 1533-position model. The record is from RNAcentral.